Molecule: RNA transcript, 4106 nt
Organism: Artibeus jamaicensis (Jamaican fruit-eating bat)
Lineage: Eukaryota; Metazoa; Chordata; Mammalia; Chiroptera; Phyllostomidae
Gene: RCCD1
Gene name: RCC1 domain containing 1
Exons: 8
Source: RefSeq, a predicted model, not a curated record
GUGGCGCGGGGUUUCGGUUGUAGAUUGGCUUUUCGCCUUCCCUUUGCCUCGACUCUCCGGGAAGUGUAAUCCCACAUGCGUCUCAUCCGUUCUGUGGCCCUGCGGGGGUGGGAGUCCUCUGGUCCACCCCUGCCGUGGACCCAUGCCCGCCGGAAGUUUGUGCACUGAGCACCCGAAGCCGCAGUAGCACGGCGUCCGCCUCGGCACCGGCUCCACACGACCUGGACUGGAUCGGCCGCUGCGAGGACUGCUGGUACCGCAGUGAGCCUCGCCCUGCGUCCUCCUGUCCGGGUGACCUAGCUGUCACCCUCGUGGGUAAUUGGCCCCGGGCGGCUGCAGCAGCCAAUGGGUGCCUCACCCCGAGGCGCAGGAAUUUCAACCGACUUUUCUCCCUUCCUUACUUCCAUCUUUGUAAAACUGAAGAAACUGAAUUGAGCGCUGAAAUGAAUUAGCUAAGGACCCAAGGUCCUGCUAGGUGCAGAAGCAAAGGGGAAACGUGGAGUUGGGGAUAGCGGGUUGCCGUCUCCCUGGGGUUCCGCCCUCUGCCCCGAGCUAUAUGAUUGCGUAACGGUUACUUUCUCUGUCGAGUUGUAGUUCCCAACAUUACAUGGGAUGAUGUGCUCACUUUGUGGGGCGCUGAGCUUGCCUGAGUAAAAAGGGAGGACAGGGAAAUUUCCUCCCCGAGACAGUUCCAAAUUCUCCUAAAUCUGGUAGGAUUUUAACCCAAGCUUCCGCUCAGUGAACGCUGUGGAAGGAUAUCGCCGGGCUCUCUGGUUAAGAGACUGGGACUUCUCCAUCUUACAGGUGAGGCCGCUGCGGUGUCGGCUGGCGGCCGGCAGAGGGCGCUGCGAGGGCAUGGCCGAGGAGCGCUGCGGAUCCUGGUUCGGCUUCGGUUUCUGCGGCUUCGGGCAGGCGCUGGGUUCGGGCCGCGGACGGCAGGUGCACAGCCCCGAGCCGCUGCGCGCGCCGGGGACGGACGCCGACGCAGAGGUCUGCGGCGUGCGCGCCAGCUGGAGCUACACCGCGUUCUUGAGCCGUGAGUGCCUGGGUCCAAUCCCUCCCGGCCCCGCCCCCACUUGUCCCCGCCUCCUGCUCAGCUGGCUCCGGGCUUCUGCAGGUGCAGGCCAGGUGCAUCUGUCCGGCUCGGCCCGUGGCACGGCGGAGGGCUGCCGAGACGCGUGGGCCUCAGAGACGCUCCUCGUGGUGCUGCGCGACGGCCGGGGACCUGGGCCUGGAGCUGAGCUGCAAGCCUGGGCGCCCGGCUCGGCGCUGUGCGGGGAGCCCCUCUGGGUGCAGACUGUGGUGCCGGAGGCCCAGCGGGAAGACGGAGCGGGCGACGGUACCCGGGCCGAGCGGCUGCCCCUGCUGCCCGGCGCCUGCGCCUACGUGAGCCCGCUGCCGCCCUUCUACCGGCCUCUGGCUCCGGAGCUGCGGGCACGUCGGCUGGAGCUCGGCACCGAGCACGCGUUGCUGCUGGACGAGGCCGGCCAGGUGUACUCCUGGGGCGGGGGCAGGCAUGGACAGCUGGGCCACGGGACUCUGGAGGCAGAGCCGGAGCCCCGGCUGUUGGAGGCGCUGCAGGGGCUGCCCAUGGCUGAGGUGGCCGCUGGUGGCUGGCACUCCGUGUGUGUGAGCGAGACUGGGGACAUUUAUAUCUGGGGCUGGAAUGAGUCAGGGCAGCUGGCCCUGCCCACCAGGAGCCUGGCAGAGGACAGAGAGACAGUCACGGGGGAAACCACAGGACUGAGCGAAUGUGGUCCUGAAGUGACGGGAACAGCCGGGCCUGAGGGCGGAGCCCCUGCCCCCUUCAUAGCAGUGCAGCCCUUCCCAGCGUUACUGGACCUCCCCCUGGGCUCAGACGCGGUCAAGGCCAGCUGUGGGUCCCGGCACACAGCCGUGGUGACGAGAGCCGGGGAGCUGUACACCUGGGGCUGGGGUAAAUAUGGACAGCUGGGCCAUGGGGACACGAGCAGCUGGGACCGGCCCUGCCGGGUGGAAUACUUUGUAGAUAAGCAACUCCAGGCCACGGCUGUGAGCUGCGGGCCCUGGAACACCUACGUGUAUGCAGUGCAGAGAGAGAAGAGCUGACGUCUACAGACAGAGGCGUGAAAUGAGUGUGCAGUACAAAUUGAUAAAGACCAAAGCAAAACCUUACUCAGGAAAAUCUGAAGACAACACACUUUAAUUUUUUCAUCACUUCUGAUGUGAAAAGAAAACACUUAAUGAUUUGCAGAACACCCGUCUUGAAUAUCACCUGCAAAAUACUUGAAAAACUGAACACAUUUAGCACAGACUGCCCACCAGUCUCCUUACGUGAGCACCCGCCUGUCUGGUGACCCAGCGGCAGGGCCAGAGCCCCGUGCAAGGCCCUGCUCGGCAGCAGCUGAAGCCCUGGCUUUGGACUGAGCCGAGGGGCCAGCCCCUCUCUUCCACUGCCCAGUCCCAUCCCAGGGCUUCCCCACGACACUAGUGGGGCUCGGCGUGACCAUUUCAUCUUUCUGUUGUUGCAUUUUUUAGAUGAACCAGCUUUCAUCUGUCAUCUCUCAGCAUCUCAGUGGUAACUGAACCCAGGGGUCUCAGAAACCGUAAGAAGCAGGGGCAGGGCCCUGGAUAAAGAGGCUGGGGCAGUACUGGGGAAAAGCCUGUGCGCAGAGCCUGCUGACCUUGCUGCCAGAAGGUGGAAGUCGAGACACCGGAGAGUGGUAGACUGUGCCCCCAAAGGCAGGCCGGAUGCUGCUGUUGGCCGUGGCAUUGGACAUGACGGUGGUGUUCAGCUGAGGAGGAGAACAGAUCACUCACUGAGGAGACACACCCAGCAGCCUGGCCCCGCACACCAAGAAAUGGUGUGGAGAGCAGCCCAUAGAAGACGUGUCUAUGUGAAAAGGUGUGAGGAGACCGUCAGAAGGCCCCAAAGCCUAUUUACGUCCAGCACACGGACCUACAGAACAGCCCUACUGUUCUGCCUCUAGCGCUGGAGAUUUACCCAGCCCAGGAGCCACCAAAGCUCUCCCAGGAGGCGCAACCGCACGGCUGCACAGAAAGACAUAUGUAUGUACACACACAUGUACAGCAGCUCCGUCUGUAACAGCCCCACACCAGAGCCAAGCUACAAUAAUAUUACUGGGCAAAUGGAUCGGCAAACCGUGAUGUCAUACAAUGCAAUACUGCUCAGUAACAAAGUAGUGACCUACCGAUACAUGGAACGACAUAUAUGAACCACUCAAGAAUUGUGCUAUGUGAAAAAAGCCAUACUGUAAGAGUCUAUGUAUAAAAAAUGUUAGAAACUGCCAAUUAAUAGUGAUAGUCUACACUUGCCAGGAGCUGGGGGAGGGGCACUGUGGCCGUGGGUGGCUCACAGUCUGCACCGUGGUGGCAGCAUUAAGGUGCACAUGUGUGAAAUGUGUUGUGUGCCCUUUACAUGGGUGUCAGUAAAAUGUAAACAUUUUUUUACACUGAGAACUCUAGGUGGAUUAAAAACUUUACAUGGGGUGGCAAGACUAUUCAAAUAUAAGACAGAGGCUAGGAAAUCCAACACAGGAAGAAUAUCUGUGAGGCUUCAGGCCACAGAGGGACCACCUACAAAGUACAAGAAGUACAGGCCAGGAAGAAGGCAGACUGGAAGCACUUUCCCCGUGUUAAGAGUGAAGAGCUUCCUGUCCACCACCAAAGCACCGUGAAGAGUAAGAAGGCGGCUGCACCGGACACCCAGGCUGUUGGGAAAACACCCAGAACGUUAAGAGUUUCUAUAAACUUCGUAAGAAAGAUGCAGAUGCUCGCUUCACUAGUGACUAGAGAAACGCAAACUGAAACCAUGAGACGCUACUUUGGACCGAGCGGAGGAGCGGAGGUGCAGGCGUGUGGAAGUUCCGCACGUCAGGCACCGCCCCCAGAAGCGCAGACUGGCGUCUCAGGUGUGGCUGCGGGCCAGGCUCCCACUGGGCGCCCGUGAGGCAACCGACAGAUGUGUCUCUCACACAUCAGUGUUUCUUUUCCUUUCUCCCUCCCUCCCCCUCUCUGAAAAUAAAUAAAUAGAACGUUUUGGGGUUUUUUUGUUUUAAAUUGAAUCCAUACACUUAAAAAAACAAGAAAACACCCAACAUUCUCAA